This 253-nucleotide ribosomal RNA is filed under the name uncultured bacterium. RNAcentral's name for it is "partial 16S ribosomal RNA". It matches the Rfam family "Bacterial small subunit ribosomal RNA", at positions 524 to 776 of the family's 1533-position model. The record is from RNAcentral.
GACGAACCGUGCGAACGUUGUUCGGAAUCACUGGGCUUAAAGGGCGCGUAGGCGGGCUUGUAAGUCCAGGGUGAAAGCCCCCGGCUCAACUGGGGAAGCGCCUUGGAUACUGCGGGCCUCGAGGGGGGUAGGGGCGUGCGGAACUUCCGGUGGAGCGGUGAAAUGCGUUGAUAUCAGAAGGAACGCCAGCGGCGAAGGCGGCGCACUGGACCUCUACUGACGCUGAGGCGCGAAAGCCAGGGGAGCAAACGGG